GGUCCCAUCGUCUAGUGGCUAGGACGGCAGGUUCUCAUCCUGCAAACCCGGGUUCGAUCCCCGGUGGGAUCA
RNAcentral lists this transfer RNA (72 nucleotides) under Candidatus Beckwithbacteria bacterium. RNAcentral describes it as "tRNA-Glu". It matches the Rfam family "tRNA". From Rfam's summary of the family: Transfer RNA (tRNA) molecules are approximately 80 nucleotides in length. Their secondary structure includes four short double-helical elements and three loops (D, anti-codon, and T loops). Lineage: Bacteria; Candidatus Beckwithiibacteriota. The record is from RNAcentral.